AUGCUGGUCGUGGAGGUGGAGGUGGCUGUGGAACACUGCUCUUGCUUGCUGGCCCCCCUCUCCUCUCCUCUCUCGAGGGAGAGAGGGGAAAGAGGGAGAGUGGUGACUAUGGGGAAACACACGCACACACACACGAGCGACCAGGCUUCACCCUUCAAAUUAAACCCCCAUCUCUCUCCUUACCUGUUGGUGCGACAGCCUAGUGUGGGUCUCUCUCUCUCUCUCUCUCUCUCUCUCUCUCAACUUGUCAUGGUAGCUAUAGUCACCACUCACCAGCACCUUUUGCUUUGCUCCCUCCUCCGCCUCAGGUCCUCGUCAGUCGAUGAGAAAGAGGAGGGAUGCGCCCCUUGCCAUGCUGGGUAA
Molecule: ribosomal RNA, 363 nt
Filed under: Triticum aestivum (bread wheat)
Lineage: Eukaryota; Viridiplantae; Streptophyta; Magnoliopsida; Poales; Poaceae
Description: partial small subunit ribosomal RNA
Source: RNAcentral